This 74-nucleotide transfer RNA is filed under the name Candidatus Bathyarchaeota archaeon. RNAcentral describes it as "tRNA-Phe". It matches the Rfam family "tRNA". From Rfam's summary of the family: Transfer RNA (tRNA) molecules are approximately 80 nucleotides in length. Their secondary structure includes four short double-helical elements and three loops (D, anti-codon, and T loops). Further hydrogen bonds mediate the characteristic L-shaped molecular structure. tRNAs have two regions of fundamental functional importance: the anti-codon, which is responsible for specific mRNA codon recognition, and the 3' end, to which the tRNAs corresponding amino acid is attached (by aminoacyl-tRNA synthetases). tRNAs cope with the degeneracy of the genetic code in two manners: having more than one tRNA (with a specific anti-codon) for a particular amino acid; and 'wobble' base-pairing, i.e. permitting non-standard base-pairing at the 3rd anti-codon position. Lineage: Archaea; Thermoproteati; Candidatus Bathyarchaeota. The record is from RNAcentral.
GCCGAGGUAGCUCAGCCUGGGAGAGCGCCCGGCUGAAGACCGGGUCGUCGCAGGUUCAAACCCUGCCCUCGGCA